This 392-nucleotide long non-coding RNA is filed under the name Fukomys damarensis (Damara mole-rat). Its description in RNAcentral is "lncRNA (ENSFDAG00000026329.1)". The record is from RNAcentral. Lineage: Eukaryota; Metazoa; Chordata; Mammalia; Rodentia; Bathyergidae.
GUCAGAAUGUGAAAUGCAACUUCAAAGCCGCACAGGAAGCCGCUCUUCACCAGGAGUUUUAAUGUCACUGCAGAGACAUCCUUGACUCUGACAGAGCUUUGGAAGAAACACUUCAGUGUCCUCCAUCAUGUCAACCUCACUGACAAGGCCUGGGAAGAUCUCACUGAAUGUGACUUUGCAAGGCGUUUCCAGGCAGACUGGCAAACCUCACUGCAGCCGCCUUCAUGCUCACACACCUUCAGUGUGCAUGGCUAUGUGCCAUCCACGGGAAGCAACGAGUUGAGAACAGCUUAGACUGAGAGUUGCUGGGAAAGCAGCCCAUCGAAUCUGUAACUUAUAAAGGAGCUUCAAUUGAUAAAUUCAUUAACAAUAAAGUAAUCUGUUGCCAGCAA